RNAcentral lists this non-coding RNA (160 nucleotides) under Burkholderia pseudomallei. RNAcentral describes it as "Burkholderia sRNA 7". It matches the Rfam family "Burkholderia sRNA 7". From Rfam's summary of the family: Did not show any change in expression in iron-depletion and hydrogen peroxide (oxidative stress) treatment. Constitutively expressed. RNAcentral also lists the same sequence under 1 other name. The record is from RNAcentral. Lineage: Bacteria; Pseudomonadati; Pseudomonadota; Betaproteobacteria; Burkholderiales; Burkholderiaceae.
UUAUGCUUGCGCACAUGAACCGCUUCCAGUCCGCUCUCCGACGUCGCCGCUCGCCGCUCCGCACGGAUGCCGCCGGCUCGUCACGGACUCGCGCGUAACCGCUUCCCCGUUACGCAAAAGCUGUUCGAACCAUCAAGCCACGGCGCCCCGUGGCUUUUUU